AGCGAGCCCACAUGCAAGAAUUAAGACAGUGGCAAGAUCUUUCCCAACUUCUACAGCAACGGUGGCUCUUUGGGUCUCAUAACAGGUAAAUCCCUUUCUCCUGGGAAACCUUGUAUGGCCAGUGACGGCCAAGUUCAAACCAUGGGAAUGAACUAUCUUGAUUCCUCACGUCCAGCACCCCUUGCUCAUCAAGUUCUCCACCAGCUGCUCUGUCCCCACUUUCCCUGCAUGAGGUCAGGCGUUCACUAUCCAUUACUUAAUCAUUACAGUAACAGUCUACCUAGGCUUCCUCCCUUUAGUCUAAAUUUCCCCCGUCAAUUUUUUUUUUUUUUCUAAAAUACAGAUCUGAUCGUGUCUGUCCUAGCUCAGAAUCCUUCAGCAGCACCUUCCAAGCUAUAGAACUGAACCUCAAUAGCAUGCAAGUUCACAUUCUGGCCUCUACUUAUCUGUCCAGGGCCAAAGAGAUUGGGAAGAUGCCUCCAGAAGACGAAUAACUCGGCAUCCCCUUGAAACUGCUAUUCUACUCGGGGAGAUUCAUUGAUUCAUACCAGUAAGAAUGCCAGCUGAAAAUAACAUGCACCUGGGACUUCCCUGGCGGUCCAGUGGUUAAGACUCCACACUUCCACUGCAGAGGGCAUGGGUUCAAUCCCUGCUUGGGGGGCUAAGGAUCCCACGUGCUGCGUGGCAGUGGCCAAAAAAAACCCAAAAAAACAUGCACCAAACGUCUGCUAAAUAAAUCAGUGUAUGUGAGACUUAUUUGCUCCUUUUCAGAUGUGAAAUCUUGAAGCCAGGCUGGGAAGUAUUCAGAGCUAGCUGGGGUUGGGGCAGGGGCUCUGACUGGCUUUGCCCAGAUCGCCAGAAUUGCCUUAAGAAUCCUGAGCGCUUUCCUACCAGAGCUGUGCAGACAGACCUAAAACCAACUAGCAAUUCGAUCCUCAGAUGGAGGCUCUGAGAGAAGACCUUUACGAUCCCUUCCAGCCCCUGGCUGUUAAGAAAACUGGUGCAGAUCUGCGAUUGCUAGAGAUAAUUGGUUUUGUUUUGUUUCAGGAAGUGACUUGGCUGAUGUGGGAAGAAAGAACUGUUCAUGAUCCUUUGUAUUCCGUUGACCUGGGCUGGGCCCCAACUGGAAGGGAAAGGCAGUGGGAUGAGGGCGGAAAGGAGCGCCUCGCCCCUUCCCCGUCCUGUGCCUCGUGCUGACUCCACAGUCCUAUCAGAGAUCAAGGCCUGCAGUAAACAGCCAAAUAAAGCCCUGGAGUCAACGCAGCAGGGCCUGCUACCGAGCACUAAGCUGGCCGCCGCCUCCCGAGGGGAAGAAGAAAGGCUGAGCAGACCUGGAGCCUGUGCACAUCGGAUCAGGGGCCACGACCUCUCUGCGGGCUCCAUGAAGCUCCCGGAAGGGCUUUUCCUUGGUCCCACUCCACCCCUUUCCCUGUUGUCCCUCUGCUCGGACCCCAGGCCCAGGAACUCCAGGACAGCAGCUCCCCUCACAAGCUUCAGGUGUCCUGGCAGCAACACAGAAGCAUCCUAAUUCUGACAUGAAACUGAGAAGGACCAGUGCUCACUGUUCUGUACUUGUGUCCUCUGCAGUUGGGACAACUUUCUCUGGGUUCAUUUAGUCAGUUGGUGUGAGCACGAAAGGGCUGAGCCUAGACUCUGAGCCCUGGCUGGAGAUGAAGUCCCCUUUGUAAGGCAGAAAAGCAGGGGAGGCCAAUAGAAGAAGGGACAGCUCACCCUGGGCCUGAGGUCACACUUGCCAAUGUUUAACUUCCUUUAAAUCAACCAGCAAGCCCGCCCCCUCUCGUUCAUUAGUAACCUGUUAAUCUGCCACAAACUUCAUCAACUCCAUCUAAUGUGUAUUUUUUGAGCACCUACUAUGUGCCAGGUACUUUAGGUGAUGGGAAAACAGCCACAAACAUAACAAAGAUCCCUGCCUUCAUGGAGUUUCGAUCCAGUUAGAGAGAGACAAUAAGACAGAUGAGGAAAAUAUGUACUAGUACAUCAGAUGAUAAGAAAUUCCUAAAGAAAAACAGCUAAAGCAGGGAAGAGGAUUGCAGAGUGCCAGGAAGAGGGGGGAAACGUUUGACAGGGUAGCCAGGAAAGGCCUUUGUUACGGGUUGAAUCAGGUCCCCUCGAAGCUCACGGGUUAAGGUCCUAACCCCCAGGAUCUCAGAGUGUGCCUUUAUUUGGGGACAGGGUCUUUACAGAGGUCAUCAAGUUAAAAUGAAGUCCUUUGGGUGUGAGCCAUCAGGUUGGACCGGUGUCCUUAUAAGAAUGUUGAAUUUGGAGAUGCACGCAGGGAGAACGCCAUCUCCAAGGCAAGGGAGAGGCCUGGAACAGACCCUUCCCUCGGAGCCCUCCGAAGGAACCAGCCCUGCCAACACCUUGCAGCCUCCAGGACCGCGAGACAACACACUUCUGUUGUUUCAGGCGCCCAGUUUGUGGGACUGUGUCAUAGCUACACCAGGACACUAACACAGCCUUGCUGAGAAGACCUGAAAGGAGGGCGAGCCGCAGCGAGGUCGUGUUGGCCCCUCCCAGUGUUGUGGUGUUUGCCUGUCCGUGGAGCUGGUAGUGAUUCCAGCACAUUCCUGAAUGCUUAUUGCAGGGUAAAUCCAAGUCCCCUGUCCCAGAGCAGGUUCCAGGUAAGCCAGGCCUGAGGUCUGCGCCAGCAGCAGUCAGUCCAGGGGCCCCGGGCCACCAUUGUCACAUUCUUCCUCGAGGCCCUGAACACUGUCCACAGUUGAGCGGAGACCAGGGGAGGCAUUAGCUGAGCCCUGCUCAGCAACGACACUGUCGCUGAUAGGGGAACUGAGAAUCCUUGUCCUCUGCUCAGCCUUCACCCCCGCAUCAUCACCCCAACAAUCCUGCCAGGGCUAAACUUUGACCACUCCCAGAUGCCACGAGGGCUAAGCACUUCCCUCACUCUCUCAGCCCUGCUUCCCCAGCCGUAUAUAAGCAGCUGGAACAUGACCAGGUGUGGCUUCAGCGGGCAGCCUGCCACCCCAGUUUGGGGUCGGGGGGGACAGAAAGCAAAGACAAAGCUUCAUUUCCUUCCCUCCCCUUCUUUCCCAGGAGAGAGCCUUAAGGGCACACCCAGAAGGAACAGAAGGGCAAGUCCCCUCCGUCACUCGCAUUGGCCCCAGUGGUCGCCACUGGGCUCCUUUUAUUUUUUGGCACAGGCAGGGUUGGGACCACAACUUCUCUGGAAAGGACAGGGUCAAGAGGCUGGGAUCAGCCAGCGGCCCUAGAGGAACCCGUGUUUUCCAUUGUGCAUUGAAAUUCCCGUUUGCCCGGGGCCGAGCUUCCCCACAGAAUCAAAGAGGUCAAUAAAGGCCAGGGACAAAGCACAAACACAGCCUGGAAGCCAAAAGACGCCCAUAAGCGUGGAGAUAAAUGGGCAUUUCAGAGUGGUGCAGGAGGUGGGUGUGGGGCAUUGCCCCUUCUCUGGCUGGCAGAGCCUGGCCACUGGUUCUCCAAAUAGCCCUUCCACUUUGGAGAUGCCAGGUUGUUGUGGACCCAAGGCUUGACUCGUUCUGGGUCACAGUGGGGAGGAUUGACAAGAACAAAGGCUCCCUCUGGACGACAAAUACAGCACUUCCUGUAUUUCAUGCUCUGGUACUCAGCCCUCCCAACGUGGAGGCACUCUUUUUGUUUGUUUGUUUGUUUUUAACUUUAUUUUAUUGAAGUAUAGCUGAUUUACAACGUUGUGUUAAUUUCUGCUUUACAGCAAAGUGAUUCAGUUAUACAUAUAUAUAUUCUUUUUCAUAUUCUUUUCCAUUAGGGUUUAUCACAAGAUAUUGAAUAUAGGUCCCUGCGCUAUACAGUAGGACCUUGUUGUUUAUCCAUUCUAUAUGUAAUAGUUUGCAUCUGCUAAUCCCAAACUCCCAAUCCAUGCCUCCCCCACUGCCCCUCCCCCAUGGCAACCACAAGUCUGUUCUCUGUAUCUGUGAGUCCGUUUCUGUUUCGUAGAUAAGUUCAUUUGGAGGCACUCUUUUUUGACAGGGUUAUGUUUCUUUUCUUUUAAGAAAAGUUCCCACUCUUAGGGGUUUUUUAAAUGAUGCAAAUUCUGGCAAUUCAGAGCUGCUUAGCGUCUUCAGUUAGAUGUUAAAAAAUAAGCCCAGUUUUCUCCCACUAUUUCCUCUGCCCUUUGGUUUAUUUCAUUCAAUGUUCCAGUAGAAAGAUCCCUGGAGUGUGAGUCAGGAAACCUGAGUUCUGCUCCCUGCCCCGCAUUCUUCCAGGAGCUGUGACCUUGGGCAAGUCAUUUAUGCUCUCUGAGCCCAAUUCUCUUACAUUCUGAGAUGACGUAGAAUCAUAGGGAGAAGACACAGCUUGGUUAGUUCACUAUGUCACCAGGUAACAGCUGUUUUGAUUCUCUGUUGGAGAGUUCACUCAAUCAUUCAUUCACUCAUCCGUCAACUAGUUAAUAUAUGCAGGAAUCAUGACAGGCAUGAAGACGCAAAGUUGAAUAAGACGCGGUUCCUGCCCAUGAAGAGGCAACAUGCUAGGGUGGAAAGAGUGCUGACUUUCUGAGGGACACAGCCAGGUCCCAGUGCUAAUUAGUUUUGUGAGCUUAGCUAAGUUUUGAUAACUUUUCUGAGCCUUCGUUUUCUCCCUGGUAUAAUGGGAUUAUUGUAUAGGGUGACCAACCAUCCCGGUUUGCCCUGAGACAGGAGUUUCCUAGGACACAGGACUUUCAGAGCUAAAACCUAGAAAGUUCCAGGCAAACUGGGAUAAGCUGGUCACCUACAUGAGAGAUGAAUUGAAAUGACACCUAGGUGGGGCCUAGCCCAGUGCCCAGCAUCUAAUAGCUGCUUUAUCAACACAACCCUUUUGUGGAUACACACGCACACAGCCAGACACCCACCCACAUAACUCAUCACAAGAUAAAGAAAGGAAAAAGAAAAAAUGUAAACAAAUAAAUAGGCUCUCGCUAAGGCGGCACAAGGGAGAGCAGGGCUGCUGAGAGGAGCCAGGAGAGGCGGCGGCAGAGGGCAGGAGCCAGGGGCUGGCUGCUGAGGGGGGAGGUGGACUUGGUCCGAUGAGGAUGCUGACUAGGGAGGUUCAGCCUAUGCUUGAAAUAUUUGUAAAUGCAGGAAAGCUUAAGAGCUUUGAGCGCUUAAGGGGUGUUCUGUGUGGCUAGAGCAAACAGAGAAGAUCCUAAAGGUUGGUCUGAUUCAUCUAGAAAAGGCCCUGUGUGCGAUUCGAAAAGGCUUGGACAUCAUUUUGAAAGUUUCCAAACACUUUCAAUGAUGCAUCUUUCUGGUGGAAAAAAAGGUUGAAAACCGACACCUUUCCCAAUACAUGUAUACCUAUGUAUAAGUAAUGCGCAUGUGUUGUGUAAAUAAAUAAAGCAUACAAAAAACCAGAAAUGUUUAAAGAAGCAGAUAAAAGGUAAAUAUAAGUAGAAGUUCUGUUUUCAUUCUAUGCUCCAACAAGUUGUCUUGUCUGCUUCCUCUAGUACACAUACCCCGUUUGAGAGACCACUACUGUAGGCGGUGGAGAGUCAUGGCAGGUUUUAGAUGAGAGCAAAAAACCUGACAUGAUCAGAUUUGAUUUUUGAGAAAUGACCCUGGCUGCUUAGAGAAGGGCCUGGAGGCAGAGAGGCCAGUAGGAAGCUGUUGUCAAAGUCCAAGAGAAGGUUCCAGUGCCCCAGACUAAGGUGGCAGCAUAGGUGUGCAGGGAAGGUGACAGAUUGGGGAGGGAUUUAGGAGGUGAAAUCAAGAGGACAUGUGACUGAGAACAAAUCUGUUGAGUUAAAUAAGUUUAGGAAUGCAUGCAUCUUGAAAUACGUCCACAAGGAGAGGUGUGCCCUGGAACUACAUUCAAUUCCGGUGACUGUUUUCUUUUUUUUGUGUUUUUUUUUUUUGCGGUACGCGGGCCUCUCACUGCUGUGGCCUCUCCCAUUGCAGAGCACAGGCUCCGGACGCGCAGGCUCAGCAGCCGUGGCUCACGGGCCCAGCCGCUCCCCGGCAUGCGGGAUCCUCCCGGACCAGGGCACUAACCCGUGGCCCCGGCAUCAGCAGGUGGACUCUCAACCACUGCACCACCAGGGAAGCCUUCAGUGAUAUUUUUGAUCAAUACUCCAGACGUGAUGCAGGGAAACAGGGCCAUACUAUGACUUUUGUGGGCCCUAGACACUUUGUCUUCAUGAGCCCCUUCCUGCAUUAGAAAUAAUAAUAUAUAUGUGUAUAUAUAUGUAUUUAUGUAUAUGAAAGUAUAUUUAACAAUUGCACUGUAUAAAGUUGAAUAGAAUCAGGGAGUAUUCUAUUCCUUGUUUUCUCAUGAUUUUAGAAGAAAUUAAAAUACUUCCAUGGGUUUCUAAAGGUAUCGUGGGCCUUAGGCCCUGUGCCUGUGGUGCCCAAAGGAUAAGCCAGUACUGGAAGCCCGCCAGACUCUGGAGAUGCUGAAUUCGGGCAGAUUCAGUAUGAGCAUGGAGCGCCAUCUAGUGGUCCGCAUGCUUGCAAGGCAGCCGAGCCUCUUCUGCCCUACGGAAAUAAAUUAAUCUGUAAAACUUUCUCUCAGCGUCCCAGAUCAGACCCAAUCCCUCUUGAGUAAGCAUCUCCAAACUGCCCUGGAUGCUGGGUUUUGAGGCUGUCUGAUUGGCAGGCAGCCAAAGCAAGACCUCAACAUCACGAUGACAGCCCAGCAGUGCCCCCAAAUCACCUAAGAGCCAACCGUUUAAUCUUUUCAUCUAACAGGUCAUUUAAUGCAGCAGUAGUGUUCAAUAUUUUUGUGCCUGAGGCACUACAGUGAAUGGGGGUAUAAGCGGACACCAGUUUAGGAGGGAAAGUUUUAAAAUACUUCUAAAAAAUCAGUUUUGCCAUAUUCUCUCAGUAUUUGUUGCUUUCUUCUCCACUGGGAUUCCUUCUGUAUCUACAAGGCAGAGUUAUCCAGCAUUUGGUAAGUGACCAGUCUUUCUUUGUAGCCAAUUUGAGAUAACUUCAUACAGACCAUCACCUGUUCUUUUCUGCAACUUGAGAUUCACUCAACUGAGCACUUCAUCUGCCAUGUCACCAGAGUGGGUACAUCUUCAGGGAAAGGCAGAGAAAGGCAUCAGAGGAGGCUCAGUUGUGCACCCCGUUGUACAGAAUGUGGUAGCACACUGUCCAGCAACCACUGGGGUAAUGUCAUCUGCUUCCUAAAGCUAGGAUUCGGGAGAUUUUCUUCUCAAAGACAUGAAGUUGUAAAUUGAUAAUUGCUACCAUACACAUUUUAUGGGUUGGACUGUUACCUCCACAAAUGCGUAUGUUGAAGUCCUAACCGUCAGUACCUCAGAAUGUGAUCUUAUUUGGAAAUAGGGUCAUUGAAGAUGUAAUUCAUUAAGGCGAGGUCAUAUUGUAGCAGGAUGGGGCCCCUAACUCAAUAUGACUUACACCCUUAUAAGAAGGGGAAAUUGGGACAAGUCUCAUCUCAUUUUUUAUGCACCUCGAUUCAUAGAGGGAAGAUGGUGUGAAGACAUGGGGAGAAAACAGCCAUUUACAAGCCAAGGAGAGAGGCCUGGAAUAGAUUCUUCACUCACAGACCUCAAAAUUACAUAUAUUAUUUAAAAAAAAUAAAACAUACAGCUAGGAUUGAGAACUAUUGGCAUAGAAGAUUCUUUUAUUUCUCUUCAUCUACCUGGUCUGUAUCCAUCCUUUACAUUUCUUCUUAGAUUUCACUUUCUCUGGCAAUCUAUAUCUGAUCUGAUCCCUCUCUCUUUGCUCCCUCCCUCUCUGUCCACUUGGACCAUGUGCCCAUCUUUUGUAUUUCCGUUGCAACUUCAGCAAGCUCUUACAGUACUUUGACAGUUGCGUUGGUCUAUGUGUAUAUUAACGUGGUAUAUCACAUUUACUGUUUUGCAGAUGUUGAAGCAUCGUUGCAUCCCAGGGAUAGAUCCCACUUGAUCCGGGUAUAUGAUCCUUUUAAUGUGCUUUUGAAUUAGGUUUGCUAAUAUGCUAGUGAAAUUUUUGCAUCUAUAUUCAUCAGGCAUAUUGGCCUGUAGUUUUCUUAACUUAUAGUGUCCUUGUCUGGCCAGAGUAAUACUGGCCUCAUAAAACGAACCUGGGAGUGUUCGCUCUUUUUCAGUCUUUUGGAAGGGUCCGAGAAGGACUGGUGUUAAUUCUUCUUUAAACAUUUGGUAGAAUUCACUCGUGAAAUCAUCUCAGCCUGGACUUUUCUUUGUUGGGAGGUUUUUGAUUACUGAUUCAAUUACUCAUUAUUGGUCUGUUCAUAUUUUCUAUCCCUUCGUAAUUCAGUCUUGGUAGGUUGUAAAUUUCUAGGAAUUGACCCAUUUCUUCUAGGUUAUCUAAUUUGCUGGCAUGUAAUUAUUCGUCAUUAUCUCUUAUGAUCCUUUGUAUUUCUGUGGCAAGUUAGUGGUAAUAUCUCCUCUUUUGUUUCAGAUUUUAUUUAUUUGAGUCUCCUCUUUUUUUUUUUUUAGUUAGUCUAGCUAAGAAUUUGUCCGUGUGUGCGUGCAGCUCCUGACUUAGAGCUCUAGAUGAAAUGAGCCUCUCUGGCAGCGUCCACACAGCUGGGGGAUCCAGGCGCUCAGUCACACACUCACAUUCUCCCACAGGAGAAAUCACAGGCGGAGAAAGGCUCUCUGGCCCCUGAGCUCAGCUACCCGGGGGAGGCAUGUUGUAGGUCAAGUCAGCUGUUCCUCUUACCGUCUUUGAUGUGCCCAGUCUCGGAAUUUUUGUUUUUCCUCCAGUGAUGCGCUGGAACUUCCCUGCUGGACUCCUGGACUUCCACAAAGUCUCUCUGAUACGUGAAUGAUUGUCAGAAUCGUAUUCUUUGGGGGGAAUAGUAGAAAACUUCUAUUCCGCCAUUUUGAUGAUGUCACUCCCCGACAAAUACCUUUAAAAACAUAAACUAACAAAGCUUACUCACGAAGACGUAGAUAAGGGACUUCCGUGGCGGUCCAGCGGUUGAGACUUCGCCUUCCGAUAAAAGGGGUGAGGGUUCGAUCCUUUGUCGGGGAGCAAGGUCCAACAUGCCUCACAGCCAAAAAACCAAAACAUAAAACGGAAGCAAUAUUGUAACAAACUCAGUAAAGACUUAAAAAAAAAAAAGAAAUAGAUAA
This is a long non-coding RNA of Orcinus orca (killer whale), 9058 nucleotides long. RefSeq lists it as uncharacterized. The transcript has 2 exons. The record is from RefSeq and is a predicted model, not a curated record. NCBI's taxonomy places the organism in Eukaryota, Metazoa, Chordata, Mammalia, Artiodactyla, Delphinidae.